AUUGAACGCUGGCGGCAUGCCUUACACAUGCAAGUCGAACGGUAACAGGUCUUCGGAUGCUGACGAGUGGCGAACGGGUGAGUAAUACAUCGGAACGUGCCCGAUCGUGGGGGAUAACGCAGCGAAAGCUGUGCUAAUACCGCAUACGAUCUACGGAUGAAAGCGGGGGAUCGCAAGACCUCGCGCGGACGGAGCGGCCGAUGGCAGAUUAGGUAGUUGGUGGGAUAAAAGCUUACCAAGCCGACGAUCUGUAGCUGGUCUGAGAGGACGACCAGCCACACUGGGACUGAGACACGGCCCAGACUCCUACGGGAGGCAGCAGUGGGGAAUUUUGGACAAUGGGCGCAAGCCUGAUCCAGCCAUGCCGCGUGCAGGAUGAAGGCCUUCGGGUUGUAAACUGCUUUUGUACGGAACGAAAAGCUCUCUCUAAUACAGGGGUGAAUGACGGUACCGUAAGAAUAAGCACGGCUAACUACGUGCCAGCAGACC
RNAcentral lists this ribosomal RNA (489 nucleotides) under uncultured bacterium. Its description in RNAcentral is "bacterial SSU rRNA". It matches the Rfam family "Bacterial small subunit ribosomal RNA", at positions 30 to 517 of the family's 1533-position model. The record is from RNAcentral.